This 326-nucleotide ribosomal RNA is filed under the name uncultured bacterium. RNAcentral's name for it is "bacterial SSU rRNA". It matches the Rfam family "Bacterial small subunit ribosomal RNA", at positions 373 to 710 of the family's 1533-position model. The record is from RNAcentral.
GGGCGCAAGCUCUGAUGCAGCGACGCCGCGUGAGGGAUGGAGGCCUUCGGGUUGUAAACCUCUUUUAUCGGGGAGCAAGCGAGAGUGAGUUUACCCGUUGAAUAAGCACCGGCUAACUACGUGCCAGCAGCCGCGGUAAUACGUAGGGUGCAAGCGUUAUCCGGAAUUAUUGGGCGUAAAGGGCUCGUAGGCGGUUCGUCGCGUCCGGUGUGAAAGUCCAUCGCUUAACGGUGGAUCCGCGCCGGGUACGGGCGGGCUUGAGUGCGGUAGGGGAGACUGGAAUUCCCGGUGUAACGGUGGAAUGUGUAGAUAUCGGGAAGAACACC